AGGGAUAUAGCUCAGUGGUAGAGUGUGUGCUUAGCAUGCAUGAGGUCCUGGGUCCAAUCCCCAGUACUUCCA
RNAcentral lists this transfer RNA (72 nucleotides) under Camelus bactrianus (Bactrian camel). It matches the Rfam family "tRNA". From Rfam's summary of the family: Transfer RNA (tRNA) molecules are approximately 80 nucleotides in length. Their secondary structure includes four short double-helical elements and three loops (D, anti-codon, and T loops). Further hydrogen bonds mediate the characteristic L-shaped molecular structure. tRNAs have two regions of fundamental functional importance: the anti-codon, which is responsible for specific mRNA codon recognition, and the 3' end, to which the tRNAs corresponding amino acid is attached (by aminoacyl-tRNA synthetases). tRNAs cope with the degeneracy of the genetic code in two manners: having more than one tRNA (with a specific anti-codon) for a particular amino acid; and 'wobble' base-pairing, i.e. permitting non-standard base-pairing at the 3rd anti-codon position. Lineage: Eukaryota; Metazoa; Chordata; Mammalia; Artiodactyla; Camelidae. RNAcentral also lists the same sequence under 2 other names. The record is from Rfam by way of RNAcentral.